UUGGGUCCAGUCUUGGGUGAUAAAGGUAAAACUAAAGGACAAUCAAACCUCAUCAAACUUCUCUUCUGAGGAGCUGAUGACAUUUCAGAAACAGUGACAAAGUUCAGAAUCCCACUCUUCCAUCCUAGAUGGGAAACAUCAACUUUCCUGAUGAUGCUGAAAAAGCAAGAUACUCAUUUUUUCCAGCCACCCUUGCAGAGCCAGAAAGCCCAUGAGAUUCAAUAGAUGUAAGAUUGAGAAAGAUUUUCAUUCCUGGAUGAAAAGAGACAGGCGUGGGAGAAGAGUUUUCUCUUGCCAUCUUUGCAGUCUCUCAACUUCUGACGUGUACACGGUCAAGAAAGGCCAUGUGAAAACAUGGCGAGAAGACAUUCGUCUGCAACCCAAGGAGAGAGACUUCACCAGACACCGACCCUGCUGGCACCUUGAUCUUGGACUUCCAGUGUUCAGAACUAUGAGAAAUAAAUUCCUGUUAUGUAAGGUGCCCAGUCCGUGGUAUUUUGUUGUAACAGCCUGAGCUGAUGAAGAUGGAUUUUCCUUUCAAGAUCAGGUCUUGGACCUCAGAGUCAGCCUCACUAUGGAAAGCAAUGGCUAGUCUCAGCUUCCCACAGAAGACUUGGUUUAAUUGGAGGCAAGUUUUGUCUUGCUUAUUGAGGUUAUAGAAAGCAUAACAAAAUUCACAUUUUAUAAAGUGACUACCAUAUGAUCACUCUGAAUUUUAUUUUACCUGUCAUUUCUCGGUAUCAAUAGGUUUUACUUCCCCUUGUUCUGGAUUUCAGUGAUUGACGAUUGAAUACAAUAAAUAUUUAUCGAGCACC
Molecule: long non-coding RNA, 815 nt
Filed under: Pongo abelii (Sumatran orangutan)
Lineage: Eukaryota; Metazoa; Chordata; Mammalia; Primates; Hominidae
Description: lincRNA
Source: RNAcentral